CUGAGAGCUGCCGCGAUGAGCAACCUGACCUUUCUCUCGUCGUGGCUGACAAACAUCGAAGCGUAACGUUUCAUAAUUGGCGGCGACAACGCCUGGAAGUGACACCUGAAGUCGCUCAAACUCAUGUGCUCCGGAAAACCUGAGAGACAGACAGAGAGAGAGAGAGGGGGAGACAUUAGAUUUGUUUCAACAACAAUCUGGAUAUUCAAGGUAAAAAUGAUCUAUAACUUGACUGAUCUCUGCAGCAGCUUGAAAAGCUCAAACAAAUUAAGAGAUAAUUCACAUCCAGACAGCUCAGAGGAGACGGGAGGUAAUGAGGAGCAGCGCCGCGGGGAACGCAACAAAUGAAAAUACUGCAGCACACAACGUCUUUGGCUUGUUAAACACAAACUGUGCAGGUUAUCCGGCUCACACUGAGGUGGAGGGAUUUCCAAUUAAAGCAGAACGACACAGAAUGAUCUGAUCCUCUGUUGUUAAGGAUGCUUUUACACCUCCUGAGUGUUUAUGUGGAAGUUUUAUGAUCAACAAAAUGGAUGCAGGUGGCGGCAAGGGAGGAAAAUCCAUCACACGCACAAAGUGAAGCGUUCAGGUGAGAGUCCGCCGUGCAACCAGUCCUGCUGCUCUGACUACAGCCUGCACAGUCUAAAGAUGAUGCACGUCACACUACUGAUGCAAUAUUGUCAUUUUAAGGUCGUUCUUGUGGUGCGUCCCAUUUUAACUGGGACGGCAGAUUUUCCGAGUACCUGGUCGACAAUUUCCGAAUCGGAUUCCAAAAGUUGGAUGGGAUGUCAAAAUCCAAGACGGCUGCUCUGCCUUUUUACAACAGUUUCUGUCCAGUUUGUGUCUUACACACAGUGCUGUCCACCUUUUAUUUUGAAAGAUGGAAUAACAAACUGAGUUGAUGUACUCAGUUACAUCCCGCCCCCCUGGUUGCCAUGGUUACCGUGCUCACCUGUGCGGUGGAGCUGCAGGGCCGACAGGAUCUGCGUGGAGUGCAGCUGAACUCUGAGCGCCGGGACGUCAAAACUUCCGGCGUCGCUCUUGGCGAUCACACACUGCAGGAACACGGGCCGCGCUCGACGGAUCAGGUUCACCAGAGCGUCCUGACAGAGAGAUUUUAAUCAACCUGGUGGUUCUUAAUGAAUAUUCUCAUGGAACGAUACGCGCACUGGGAGCGCUGGCUGCUGCCCUCCAGACCCCCCAGACCUCGACACAGGGGAGGCAGAGAGGCUCGCGGGCUGAACAUGGCCUUCACCUCCACGCUGAGGAAGACAAGGAGUCAAGACGGUCGUCACAUGGGACAGAACCACAUGUUGAACCACACUGUGACAUCAGUGUUGAAUACUGUCAAUAACUGAGGCUAACGCUUGUUCUGAUAUGUUUGUUAGUUCUGUGUGGUUUUAAUGGAACAACACAGUCUAAAACAGACUCACAUGGUGGAGUUCUGCAGCAGGCAGAUGGCGUUGAGAGCCGACUGGUUGUUCUGGAUCAGACCGAACCAUCCCGUCAGGUCGUAGCGGAUCGGGUCGCAGCCCAUCAGUGUUGCUGUAGUACUGGCAGACUCUCUCCAGGGCGUUGUUCUCACUGGAGCCCGGUGCCACCAUCUCCUCAUCCAGAACCCAUAACAGACCUCUGGGGUCUCCAUCUGCUGCCCGGACCUUCCACACACACACACAGAAAAAGGGGAGAUGAUCCUCCAUCGACUUCCACCAGCAGGUCAUUUCAACACCUCCGCUCUUCUCUCAUCUGGAUUUAUGCUUCUCAGAGUUCAGUUUUAUAAAGUUAAGAGAGAUUUUAUCCUGAAAAUCAACUGAAAAGUGGGCAAAAAUAGGAUUUAGCCCCUUUGGAAAUGACUCCCUUCAUGGUUUUUGUUGGAUUUAACAAAAACAUUUUAUGUUAGGGUUUGUUAAAGACAUCAUAUGAACAUUUGCUGCAUUAAAAUGUCUGUAAACUAGAGAAAUAAAUUGUUUUUUUCAAGGUAACCUGUCGCUCCGUCUCUGAAAAAGGUCGUUGGUGAAGGAAACUAAACAUAACAGAAAACUUUUAAAAAGACCUCGUCUAUACAAAGACGUUUAUUUACUAACGUCACUAACUUGUCCACUGAAAAGCCACAUCAACAACAGUGUUCACAACAAAUAUAAAUUACAUAUUGUGUAUUUAGAACUCGUCGUUAAAGGAUGAUUUAGAAUUUCACUUCCAUAAAGUUUUAAACCAGAAUGAGAGAGACAUCUUGACAUUUGCUCCUUUUCAUCGGUCAAGCUUAAAAUCCACUUGACUCUGCAAAUAUUCCAGCGCGAAUGAAACAAAUGACAGUUUCUCCUGCAGACUGUCUGUUGUAAAUGUGGUCAUCAGGGUGUUUUUUUUAUCAGACUAGACUCCUUCAGAGCCCCAGACGACAUUACACAACUGAGUGAUGAUAAGUGUGCUGGUGUUAAUUCUUCAGCUCCACA
Acanthopagrus latus (yellowfin seabream) is the source of this 2450-nucleotide long non-coding RNA. RefSeq lists it as uncharacterized. The transcript is spliced from 6 exons. The record is from RefSeq and is a predicted model, not a curated record. NCBI's taxonomy places the organism in Eukaryota, Metazoa, Chordata, Actinopteri, Spariformes, Sparidae.